GUAGGGAAUAUUGGGCAAUGGUCGGAAGACUGACCCAGCCAUGCCGCGUGCAGGAAGACGGCCCUCUGGGUUGUAAACUGCUUUUAUCUGGGAAGAAAAAGGCCAUGCGUGGCAAAUUGCCGGUACCAGAUGAAUAAGCACCGGCUAACUCCGUGCCAGCAGCCGCGGUAAUACGGAGGGUGCGAGCGUUGUCCGGAUUUAUUGGGUUUAAAGGGUGCGAAGGCGGCUGAUUAAGUCAGCGGUGAAAGACUUCGGCUUAACCGGAGCAGUGCCGUUGAUACUGGUUGGCUUGAGUGUCGGAGGGGUACAUGGAAUUGAUGGUGUAGCGGUGAAAUGCAUAGAUACCAUCAGGAACACCGAUAGCGAAGGCAUUGUACUGGCCGACAACUGACGCUGAUGCACGAAAGUGUGGGGAUCGAACAGGAUUAGAUACCCUGGUAGUCC
Molecule: ribosomal RNA, 444 nt
Filed under: uncultured bacterium
Lineage: Bacteria
Description: partial 16S ribosomal RNA
Rfam family: Bacterial small subunit ribosomal RNA
Source: RNAcentral